GGGGAUGUGGCUCAGUGGUUAAGUACCUCUGGGAUCAAUCCCUGGUAACACACACACACACACACCAAAAAAAAAAAAAAGAGAGAGAGAGAGAGAGAGAGAAAAGAAAAUUUAAAAAAUAAAACGGACUGGGGGUGUAUCUCAGUGAUAAAGUGCUCCUGGGUUCAAUUACCAGUAUCCCCC
This 183-nucleotide transfer RNA is filed under the name Marmota monax (woodchuck). Its description in RNAcentral is "tRNA.Pro". Lineage: Eukaryota; Metazoa; Chordata; Mammalia; Rodentia; Sciuridae. The record is from RNAcentral.